RNAcentral lists this ribosomal RNA (407 nucleotides) under uncultured bacterium. RNAcentral describes it as "bacterial SSU rRNA". It matches the Rfam family "Bacterial small subunit ribosomal RNA", at positions 355 to 776 of the family's 1533-position model. The record is from RNAcentral.
UGGGGAAUAUUGGGCAAUGGAGGAAACUCUGACCCAGCAACGCCGCGUGAAUGAUGAAGGUCCUCGGAUUGUAAAGUUCUUUUCUAAGGGAAGAAGAAAGUGACGGUACCUUAGGAAUAAGCCUCGGCUAACUACGUGCCAGCAGCCGCGGUAAUACGUAGGAGGCAAGCGUUAUCCGGAAUGACUGGGCGUAAAGGGUGCGUAGGUGGUUUGACAAGUUGGUAGCGUAACUCCGAGGCUCAACCUCGGCACUACUACCAAAACUGUCGGACUUGAGUGCAGGAGGGGCAACCGGAAUUCCUAGUGUAGCGGUGGAAUGCGUAGAUAUUAGGAAGAACACCAGUGGCGAAGGCGGGUUGCUGGACUGUAACUGACACUGAGGCACGAAAGCGUGGGGAGCAAACAGG